This 406-nucleotide ribosomal RNA is filed under the name uncultured bacterium. Its description in RNAcentral is "bacterial SSU rRNA". It matches the Rfam family "Bacterial small subunit ribosomal RNA", at positions 14 to 410 of the family's 1533-position model. The record is from RNAcentral.
UGAUCCUGGCUCAGGACGAACGCUGGCGGCGUGCUUAACACAUGCAAGUCGAACGGGGUCCAUGCAGUAGCAAAUACUGCGGAAGGCCUAGUGGCGAACGGGGUGAGUAACACGUGAGGAACCUGCCCUGGUCUCUGGGAUAACAGUUGGAAACAGCUGCUAAUACCGGAUGACGUCGGACCGUCGCAUGGCGGACUGACGAAAGGGUUACCGGAUCAGGAGGGCCUCGCGUCCUAUCAGCUUGUUGGUGGGGUAACGGCCUACCAAGGCAUCGACGGGUAGCUGGUCUGAGAGGAUGAUCAGCCACACUGGGACUGAGACACGGCCCAGACUCCUACGGGAGGCAGCAGUGGGGAAUCUUGCGCAAUGGGCGAAAGCCUGACGCAGCAACGCCGCGUGCGGGAAG